GCUUACGGCCAUACCAACCUGGCUAUGCCUGAUCUUGUCUGCUCUCGGAAGCUAAGCAGGUUUGGGCCCGGUUAGUACUUGGAUGGGAGACCGCCUGGGAAUACCAGGUGCUGUAAGCU
RNAcentral lists this ribosomal RNA (119 nucleotides) under Carassius auratus (goldfish). Lineage: Eukaryota; Metazoa; Chordata; Actinopteri; Cypriniformes; Cyprinidae. The record is from RNAcentral.